AUUAUAACCAUACUAGCUAAGUGCCCGUGCGUUGCAACGGAGACACAUUGGGAGCUCCCGAAAUAGCCUCUUUAAGCACAACAUGUAAAUGCAUGUGAGCUACUGGUACAUGGUUGUAAGCAUAGCCAACCAUUUCACAGGAAAUAUUUUUCAUUAGAAUUACUGUUCAAAAAGAAACAACUGUAUCACAGAGAAGCGAUAGCCUAGUCAGGCAGCAAUAAUCGUGUAAGGAGUAACAUAAGGUUGUGAUUCAGUAUUCAAUUUAAAUUUCUGUGGUCAAUCCAGUUACACUCAAUGACAAUCAAUUCCAAUACAAUACUACCAACCCAUCUGACAACGAGCAGAUUUCUAUGCAUAAGCAAAUGAUUGGGUUCAUCGUAAACCUCAUUAGCAAAUGACACCCUUCAAGAAACAUGGUAUCAUGUUAUCUGACUAACAAAAUUGUUAACAAAAACAUAUUUCUGUGACUUUGUGUCUUGGUCUUUUCUUCAACUAUAUUGUGUGUUUUCUUCUCAACCCUCACAACCCUUCAAGAUGUGCCCAUCGCCUUUGUGGUCAGGCUCUGCAAUUGCUACAUCAUCGCUCAGCUAUGCUCCAUUGUUAUCAUUGCCUCGUUUUUAUUCCAUCUAUGCUUCGUCAUUAUGACUUGGAAAUCUCCUUUGUGUUUCUACUUUUCAGUCACCAACACAACUACCAAAUGAAACACGGCUUGAGAUUUUGGAUGGGGAAAUCAAGAAAUCAUACGUCAGCUUGAAGAUAAAACAUGCUGCCAUCAGGCUACUGGUAGCCAGCAUAGCUACCUACAAAAGAUUGAAAUAGAGCAAUCAGUGUAAAUCAUCAUGUAAUGGCUACUGAAACAAACUCAGGUGUUGCUAUGGCUACUGAAGCCAUCCAGCAUAUGCAUCGAUGUUUAGAAAAAAUAAUAAAGAACCUUUUCUGCAUUGAGAGUUCAAAAGGAAAAAAAAAAGAGAAAAUAUGGAGGGCAUUUAACUUUGCAAUCCUAACAAGUUACAAAAAUGGUUCCUUGUGGAAUAUCUGCAAUCAGAGUCAGCCGUCCACAGUACUAAAUUAAUACCAGCCCACAAGUUCCGUUCAGGAAGUUGGCCAAUUGAUGUAGGUCUUGAGGGUCUCCCUCAAACCAUGGUUCUGCUCUUCAUCAGGAAUACCAACAGAGCAAAAUCUGUAGAAAAUUUGCGUAAUUUACAUUGUAACUCAAAAAUAGCAAAAAAAAUAAAAAUUGCAUCCGUAGGAAUCUUGGAUCUGUAUGGAUCCUUCUUACUCAAUAAGUAUUCUCUAGACUUAUGUAAACCUGCAGGUUUCAGAUUAUAUCACCUUGUAUGAACAACCAGUUUAAGCUACGAUAGUAAACAGUAAACAAAGAAGAAGCACAACAGGUAUCCUGUGGCCUGUGUAGAGUUUUGCGUCUUCAUAGUUCAAUUCCUGGUUGAUCGCCCUUUGAAUUUUCUUUUCGCACUCCUUAAUGACCCUAUCUAUCAUAUCCUCGAGUUCUCUGUCGAAAUUUUCUGACCAUUUGCUUUUAUUUCUUCAUAGCUACCAAGAGCUCGGGAAGGCAACAAACACUAACAUAUGUAGGAAGAAAAAAUUACUAAGAAGCAUAACAAGGUAAAACUAAGAAUACUCUUUCCACUGUUGAAGCACACCUUCACAAGUAAUCACAUACAGGUGCUUUCUCUCUGCAGAAACAAAGCUCUAUCAACAAGGUAAGAUAAUUAAAAACCAGACCAUGUCCAUAUGAAAGUCACACAAUGAAAUCACUUCACAGAUGAGCUUUCCCACCAUAUACAUAAUAAGAGCAUUGGAUUCAUUUUAAAAAAUACGAAUCCGGGCAUGAGCUCAUGAGCUGUGAAUUUAUCACAUCUACAGAAAAUGAAACAGAAUGUUACACAAUAGAUAAUGUCUGAUCAAUAACCAUUUCCCAUCUUGCGAAAUGGCAAGCUUUCACGUGCUAGCAGUAUAGACUGGCAUAACAUGGUCCUUUAUGUCUGAAGCGGAUGUGGGCGUGGUCAACCGAAUCCGAGCUUUCGUUUUUGUCAAUUUAUGCUCUCAAAAUUAUAACUCAGCUACAUGUAUUGAAAAACUGCUACUCCUAUUAUUUUCUUUUUGUUUGCCUGCUUAUCAUCAAAGGUCUAUCUAGGAUACUGAUGGACAUUCAUUAACACAUCACAAACUUACUGGCGAUAGAGUUACUUGGAGGGUACUUUGAAAUGUCAUAAUUGAGUUAUGAUGGCUAAGCACUUUGAGAUGUCAAAUGAUUACUUGGAGGGCGCAGGGUACCUGAGAAGUUCUCAAAACUGUUGUUCAUACCUGCAAAGAAGGGGGAGGACGACUUGGACUCCAGAAGCGUAAGCAACUAUGGCGGCGCGGUGGAUUGGGGGAUGGGGAGACACUGGAGCAGGAGACCGGGAGGCGCGCGGGAGCAGAUUGGGUGGAGCGGCGAUGGAUCUAGAGGGUGGGGGCGCCGGAGGAGGAGGAAGGGGGGGGGGGGGGGGGGGGGGAGGGGCAGAGCAAGAUGGCUGCUCCUUCUUCUUGUUGCUCCUCCCUCUGUCUUCUUCCUGCUUCUGUGCCAUCCGGAGUCAUCGGUGUUGUAGGCCUAGAUGCAGUUAAGGAGGCCUCGGGAGGAGAUGGGGCGGCGGCGCCAAUCUGGAGGGCUGCGGGGAGGAGUCCCGGAUCGGGAGACGGGAUCAGGCGCAGGCGUGAUUGAUUUGGGGAAUCGGUGGAAUUUUCGUUCGCUGGUUUUUCUUGUGGGCCUGGAUCGGGGAGUCGGUGGAGUGACCGCGCGUUGCUAUGGAUCAACAACAAACUCAUGUACUCGCUCCGUUCAACAAAAGACAUCUCAAAUUUGUCAAAAUUUGGAUGUAUCUAGAUAAGACUUGGUGUAUAGAUUCAUUCAAAAUUAGUCAAAGUUGAAACAUCCUUUUGUUAGACGGAGGAAUAUGAUUCUUCACUGUGCACAUCACCUCAAACAAACAUACUAAGAAGCAAAAAGGUAUAAUAAUAAACGUAAAGACAAAUUAAAUGAAGUCAUCAGAGUACCCGUGCUCUGAACCACAUAUAAAAUAAUAGAAAGUAGUUGAGCAUUCAUAAGAAAACUUGAUAUGCUUGUGUUUAUUCACCAGAAUUGUUUGGCAAAGUGCCGAUGUAUCGUUCAAAGUGAUUAAUUUCUAGCAAGUAACCAGACAGUAUCAAACCAUUCUGAUCCUUAAAUUCAUAAGGAACACAACAAGGUACCCACAAUAGUGUGAGGAGAACUCCCAGAAUAAAAAGCGGAGAUAAUUGAAGAACAUACUGGCUCUAGCAUAUGGAAACUUCUUCAACAGCAUCAUCCCUAUAUCGUGGUGGUUCUCCAUUCCUGCAGUCCAAGAACUCAUCUCUGCUCAGGUCGAUAUAAUCAAGAUCGUAUGGAAACUUCUUCAACAAACAAUGCAAACAAUGGUGCAUUAAGAGCGGCCCAUUCCCUGCAAAUGCAAAGUGAAGAAACAAUGUAGAAAUUGACACAAAUGCUCGAAGUCAACAGAAUUUGUGUCAUGGUGAAGAACAUAUUCCAGGUAGGCACAAUUAAACUUCGAAGAACAGGGCAUUUGACAACACACCUCAAAUGAAACUAUAAAUCCACAGUUUUUAUGAAACAUAGCAUGUUGCAUUCAACAGUUAAGUACAAAAUCAUGAGUCUUCCUCCAUCUUAAAGAAUUACUCUCUGGACUGGAACUAUUUCUUACCUUUCUUUAAGUUCUAUUAAGGCAGGAGUUGCAGUCCCGGUAUAAAUACCCAUGUAAAGAUUUCUAAAAGUCAAAAUUCAAGUGGAACCAGAACCAGCAGGUAUAAAUGAAAAGCAAGAACGACAUCCAACUCUAAGCAAAAGUAAAGUAUGGAAAUUACUGGAGAUGGAGAUGCGUAUGGCAUGUUGUAACAAAUCUGGAUAGAUUUAGGAACCAUGUAACCUGGACACUUUAAAAGAUAUCCCAAGAUUGAAGAAUGGUGUGUACAUACAGGAGCACACAAGAU
Molecule: long non-coding RNA, 4023 nt
Filed under: Brachypodium distachyon (stiff brome)
Lineage: Eukaryota; Viridiplantae; Streptophyta; Magnoliopsida; Poales; Poaceae
Description: long non-coding RNA (BDIS_LNC004230)
Source: RNAcentral